RNAcentral lists this transfer RNA (85 nucleotides) under Desulfocicer niacini. RNAcentral describes it as "tRNA-Leu". It matches the Rfam family "tRNA". From Rfam's summary of the family: Transfer RNA (tRNA) molecules are approximately 80 nucleotides in length. Their secondary structure includes four short double-helical elements and three loops (D, anti-codon, and T loops). The record is from RNAcentral. RNAcentral also lists the same sequence under 7 other names. Lineage: Bacteria; Pseudomonadati; Thermodesulfobacteriota; Desulfobacteria; Desulfobacterales; Desulfobacteraceae.
GCCGAAGUGGUGGAAUAGGUAGACACGCACGCUUGAGGGGCGUGUGGGGCGACCCGUGGGAGUUCAAGUCUCCCCUUCGGCACCA